RNAcentral lists this unclassified non-coding RNA (320 nucleotides) under fungal sp. RNAcentral describes it as "partial contains 5.8S ribosomal RNA, internal transcribed spacer 2, and large subunit ribosomal RNA". The stretch from base 1 to 71 matches the Rfam family "5.8S ribosomal RNA", at positions 84 to 154 of the family's 154-position model. The record is from RNAcentral. Lineage: Eukaryota; Fungi.
GUGAGUCAUCGAAUCUUUGAACGCACAUUGCGCCCGCCAGCAUUCUGGCGGGCAUGCCUGUUCGAGCGUCAUUUCAACCCUCGAGCCCGACUUCCUUGCGGAGGACGGCUCGGCGUUGGGGGACGGCACACUCCCCCCGGCUCGCCGGGGACGCCGCCCCCGAAAUUCAGUGGCGGCCCUCGGAGGCGACCUCUGCGUAGUAACUCAACCUCGCAAAGGGAAGCUUCGAGCGGCCACGCCGUGAAACCCCAACUCUUUAAGGUUGACCUCGAAUCAGGUAGGACUACCCGCUGAACUUAAGCAUAUCAAUAAGCGGAGGA